GGGGAUGUAGCUCAAUUGGCAGAGCACUGCCUUUGCAAGGCAGGGGUUAGGGGUUCGAUUCCCCUCAUCUCCA
Molecule: transfer RNA, 73 nt
Organism: Actinokineospora spheciospongiae
Lineage: Bacteria; Bacillati; Actinomycetota; Actinomycetes; Pseudonocardiales; Pseudonocardiaceae
Rfam family: tRNA
About the family: Transfer RNA (tRNA) molecules are approximately 80 nucleotides in length.
Source: Rfam